Molecule: long non-coding RNA, 747 nt
Organism: Cyanistes caeruleus (blue tit)
Lineage: Eukaryota; Metazoa; Chordata; Aves; Passeriformes; Paridae
Source: RefSeq, a predicted model, not a curated record
AUCACAGACUGACUCAUGGCUUAUAGUCAAAUCCCAUGGAAUUAUUCCUGCAAAACAGAACGUGGAGCACCUGAGCUGGAUUCUGUGUUCCCAACAGCUCCUGGUGGAUUUUCCUUGGCUCCAGCAGAUCCAUUCCCUUUCUCCUGGAGUGUGCUCAGCACCACGGAACCCUGCUCUGAACCCGAGGCACCAACAUCCCAGCCCAGGCUCCCCGCAGCAAGAUGCCCCACUCUGAACCUUGGCCAGGCAAAGAAGAUUUCUGGGAACGGGACCUCAGGCUUCCUAAUCCUCUGCUAUCUCACGGUAUUUGCAUCAUUCCCAGCCUAAGGAGAUGUGACUGUCUCUGCAGUUUGCUGCUUCCCUUCCACCCCAGUUCCAGCUGGGAAAGACAGUCUGGUGUUCGAGAGUUCCUGGGGAAAAAUUAUUGGCAAUUCUGUGCUGCCCUAAAUGGGAGCACUAAAAUUUUGGGGUGUGGACAGGUCCCAGGCGUGGGCUGCAGGCACCAAGUGUCCUUCAAAAGAGCACCCAGCUGGGUGUGCAUUCCUCACCACGUUGCUACACACAGUUGUGCAAUAUUUGCCUUAUUUGUGCAACGUAAUUAAUGAAACAUGUCUCAUUGGCACCAGCAUCCCCAGGGACCCUAAAGCAAACGGGGGCCUUUGAAGCCUGAGAGGGUCUUAAAAGCAGAAAAUAUUUACCACAAGUUUAUUAAACCAAGCUUUACUGGUAAUAAAUUAGCAGCUUGUA